AUAGGAAAUGCACGGUUUCAUUUCCCAUUAAUGGUUUAAAAUAGACCCAACCCUAUUCAAUUUCACUCUGAGCGAACAGAGAACGAGAAGAUGAUACUGGUGGCUCUCAUGGCGGAGGUGCUGAAGGAAUACACGGCGUUGCUAGCAAGGGUGGUAGAGCAGCUGUUCCGUUCCGCCCCGAUCCCUCAACGCCUUCGUAUUCUCAUCCUCCGUAGUCUUCACUUUGUUUCUUCUCGACCUAGGAGGGUUCAAUUUCAAUCACAUUAGUUUCCAUUUUUGUCCCUUUCCUUCUUCCAUUUGUUUUUAUUUAGAUUUUUGUUUUUGUCUUGUGACAUUGUACCCUACCCUACGUGUAACUUUUGGGCCUUUUUUUUUCUUUCUAUUACAAUAGAUUUGCCUUAUUCUCUCAGAAAUUUUGCAAUUUUUUUCUUUUAGUGUGAAUGAGGUUUCUGCCAUGAGAAUAGUAAUACUUGAUCGUGAUUUCUUGGUUUCUUUAUAGAAACUGCAGAAAUUGAUUCUCAUUAUUGAA
RNAcentral lists this long non-coding RNA (529 nucleotides) under Lathyrus oleraceus (garden pea). RNAcentral describes it as "Pisum sativum (pea) long non-coding RNA (PSAT_LNC003801)". Lineage: Eukaryota; Viridiplantae; Streptophyta; Magnoliopsida; Fabales; Fabaceae. The record is from RNAcentral.